Hypoxylon argillaceum is the source of this 130-nucleotide non-coding RNA. The record is from the annotation of a GenBank genome assembly. NCBI's taxonomy places the organism in Eukaryota, Fungi, Ascomycota, Sordariomycetes, Xylariales, Hypoxylaceae.
GCCCGGUUAGCUCAAUCGGUAGAGCGUGAGACUCUUAAUCUCAAGGUUGCGGGUAAGCUAUUCUGCCAAUAACAAUUGGGAAACGAAUUGUACUAACAUCCACAACCAGGUUCGACCCCCGCAUUGGGCU